Molecule: small nucleolar RNA, 167 nt
Filed under: Mucor ambiguus
Lineage: Eukaryota; Fungi; Mucoromycota; Mucoromycetes; Mucorales; Mucoraceae
Description: small nucleolar RNA snR35
Rfam family: small nucleolar RNA snR35 (bases 23-167)
Source: Rfam by way of RNAcentral
UCUGUGCGGCGAGCGCCCCUGAAAAACUUGUAGUGUUACUCGCUAACUCUUUUUAAUGAGUCGGUUUUGAGUGUCAACCCAGGUUGAGAAUGAGUACGAAUGUCUUAGCGCCUAUCUGUUAUCUUGUCCCUGACUAGGGUAGUAGAGGGCCGGUGAUUCCUACAUCU